GGGUUGUGAGGUUAAGCGACUAAGCGUACACGGUGGAUGCCCUGGCAGUCAGAGGCGAUGAAGGACGUGCUAAUCUGCGAUAAGCGUCGGUAAGGUGAUAUGAACCGUUAUAACCGGCGAUUUCCGAAUGGGGAAACCCAGUGUGAUUCGUCACACUAUCAUUAACUGAAUCCAUAGGUUAAUGAGGCGAACCGGGGGAACUGAAACAUCUAAGUACCCCGAGGAAAAGAAAUCAACCGAGAUUCCCCCAGUAGCGGCGAGCGAACGGGGAGGAGCCCAGAGCCUGAAUCAGUGUGUGUGUUAGUGGAAGCGUCUGGAAAGGCGCGCGAUACAGGGUGACAGCCCCGUACACAAAAAUGCACAUGCUGUGAGCUCGAUGAGUAGGGCGGGACACGUGGUAUCCUGUCUGAAUAUGGGGGGACCAUCCUCCAAGGCUAAAUACUCCUGACUGACCGAUAGUGAACCAGUACCGUGAGGGAAAGGCGAAAAGAACCCCGGCGAGGGGAGUGAAAAAGAACCUGAAACCGUGUACGUACAAGCAGUGGGAGCCUCUUUUAUGGGGUGACUGCGUACCUUUUGUAUAAUGGGUCAGCGACUUAUAUUCUGUAGCAAGGUUAACCGAAUAGGGGAGCCGAAGGGAAACCGAGUCUUAACCGGGCGUUAAGUUGCAGGGUAUAGACCCGAAACCCGGUGAUCUAGCCAUGGGCAGGUUGAAGGUUGGGUAACACUAACUGGAGGACCGAACCGACUAAUGUUGAAAAAUUAGCGGAUGACUUGUGGCUGGGGGUGAAAGGCCAAUCAAACCGGGAGAUAGCUGGUUCUCCCCGAAAGCUAUUUAGGUAGCGCCUCGUGAAUUCAUCUCCGGGGGUAGAGCACUGUUUCGGCAAGGGGGUCAUCCCGACUUACCAACCCGAUGCAAACUGCGAAUACCGGAGAAUGUUAUCACGGGAGACACACGGCGGGUGCUAACGUCCGUCGUGAAGAGGGAAACAACCCAGACCGCCAGCUAAGGUCCCAAAGUCAUGGUUAAGUGGGAAACGAUGUGGGAAGGCCCAGACAGCCAGGAUGUUGGCUUAGAAGCAGCCAUCAUUUAAAGAAAGCGUAAUAGCUCACUGGUCGAGUCGGCCUGCGCGGAAGAUGUAACGGGGCUAAACCAUGCACCGAAGCUGCGGCAGCGACACUGUGUGUUGUUGGGUAGGGGAGCGUUCUGUAAGCCUGUGAAGGUGUACUGUGAGGUAUGCUGGAGGUAUCAGAAGUGCGAAUGCUGACAUAAGUAACGAUAAAGCGGGUGAAAAGCCCGCUCGCCGGAAGACCAAGGGUUCCUGUCCAACGUUAAUCGGGGCAGGGUGAGUCGACCCCUAAGGCGAGGCCGAAAGGCGUAGUCGAUGGGAAACAGGUUAAUAUUCCUGUACUUGGUGUUACUGCGAAGGGGGGACGGAGAAGGCUAUGUUGGCCGGGCGACGGUUGUCCCGGUUUAAGCGUGUAGGCUGGUUUUCCAGGCAAAUCCGGAAAAUCAAGGCUGAGGCGUGAUGACGAGGCACUACGGUGCUGAAGCAACAAAUGCCCUGCUUCCAGGAAAAGCCUCUAAGCAUCAGGUAACAUCAAAUCGUACCCCAAACCGACACAGGUGGUCAGGUAGAGAAUACCAAGGCGCUUGAGAGAACUCGGGUGAAGGAACUAGGCAAAAUGGUGCCGUAACUUCGGGAGAAGGCACGCUGAUAUGUAGGUGAAGUCCCUCGCGGAUGGAGCUGAAAUCAGUCGAAGAUACCAGCUGGCUGCAACUGUUUAUUAAAAACACAGCACUGUGCAAACACGAAAGUGGACGUAUACGGUGUGACGCCUGCCCGGUGCCGGAAGGUUAAUUGAUGGGGUCAGCGCAAGCGAAGCUCUUGAUCGAAGCCCCGGUAAACGGCGGCCGUAACUAUAACGGUCCUAAGGUAGCGAAAUUCCUUGUCGGGUAAGUUCCGACCUGCACGAAUGGCGUAAUGAUGGCCAGGCUGUCUCCACCCGAGACUCAGUGAAAUUGAACUCGCUGUGAAGAUGCAGUGUACCCGCGGCAAGACGGAAAGACCCCGUGAACCUUUACUAUAGCUUGACACUGAACAUUGAGCCUUGAUGUGUAGGAUAGGUGGGAGGCUUUGAAGUGUGGACGCCAGUCUGCAUGGAGCCGACCUUGAAAUACCACCCUUUAAUGUUUGAUGUUCUAACGUGGACCCGUGAUCCGGGUUGCGGACAGUGUCUGGUGGGUAGUUUGACUGGGGCGGUCUCCUCCUAAAGAGUAACGGAGGAGCACGAAGGUUGGCUAAUCCUGGUCGGACAUCAGGAGGUUAGUGCAAUGGCAUAAGCCAGCUUGACUGCGAGCGUGACGGCGCGAGCAGGUGCGAAAGCAGGUCAUAGUGAUCCGGUGGUUCUGAAUGGAAGGGCCAUCGCUCAACGGAUAAAAGGUACUCCGGGGAUAACAGGCUGAUACCGCCCAAGAGUUCAUAUCGACGGCGGUGUUUGGCACCUCGAUGUCGGCUCAUCACAUCCUGGGGCUGAAGUAGGUCCCAAGGGUAUGGCUGUUCGCCAUUUAAAGUGGUACGCGAGCUGGGUUUAGAACGUCGUGAGACAGUUCGGUCCCUAUCUGCCGUGGGCGCUGGAGAACUGAGGGGGGCUGCUCCUAGUACGAGAGGACCGGAGUGGACGCAUCACUGGUGUUCGGGUUGUCAUGCCAAUGGCACUGCCCGGUAGCUAAAUGCGGAAGAGAUAAGUGCUGAAAGCAUCUAAGCACGAAACUUGCCCCGAGAUGAGUUCUCCCUGACCCUUUAAGGGUCCUGAAGGAACGUUGAAGACGACGACGUUGAUAGGCCGGGUGUGUAAGCGCAGCGAUGCGUUGAGCUAACCGGUACUAAUGAACCGUGAGGCUUAACCUUACAACGCCGAAGGUGUUU
Molecule: ribosomal RNA, 2930 nt
Filed under: Escherichia coli O157:H7 str. 2010C-4979C1
Lineage: Bacteria; Pseudomonadati; Pseudomonadota; Gammaproteobacteria; Enterobacterales; Enterobacteriaceae
Description: bacterial LSU rRNA
Rfam family: Bacterial large subunit ribosomal RNA
Source: RNAcentral